Molecule: ribosomal RNA, 484 nt
Filed under: uncultured bacterium
Lineage: Bacteria
Description: partial 16S ribosomal RNA
Rfam family: Bacterial small subunit ribosomal RNA
Source: RNAcentral
AUUGAACGCUGGCGGCAUGCUUUACACAUGCAAGUCGAACGGCAGCGCGGGCUUCGGCCUGGCGGCGAGUGGCGAACGGGUGAGUAAUGCAUCGGAACGUGCCCAGUAGUGGGGGAUAGCCCGGCGAAAGCCGGAUUAAUACCGCAUACGACCUGAGGGUGAAAGCGGGGGACCGAAAGGCCUCGCGCUAUUGGAGCGGCCGAUGUCGGAUUAGCUAGUUGGUGGGGUAAAGGCUUACCAAGGCGACGAUCCGUAGCUGGUCUGAGAGGACGACCAGCCAAACUGGGAAUGAGACACGGCCCAGACUCCUACGGGAGGCAGCAGUUGGGAAUUUUGGACAAUGGGGGCAACCCUGAUCCAGCCAUGCCGCGUGCGGGAAGAAGGCCUUCGGGUUGUAAACCGCUUUUGUUCGGGAAGAAAUCCUCUGGGCUAAUACCCCGGGGGGAUGACGGUACCGGAAGAAUAAGCCCCGGCUAACUACGUG